Molecule: transfer RNA, 73 nt
Filed under: Planctomycetota bacterium
Lineage: Bacteria; Pseudomonadati; Planctomycetota
Also listed under: 1 other name
Description: Planctomycetes bacterium tRNA-Asn
Rfam family: tRNA
About the family: Transfer RNA (tRNA) molecules are approximately 80 nucleotides in length. Their secondary structure includes four short double-helical elements and three loops (D, anti-codon, and T loops). Further hydrogen bonds mediate the characteristic L-shaped molecular structure. tRNAs have two regions of fundamental functional importance: the anti-codon, which is responsible for specific mRNA codon recognition, and the 3' end, to which the tRNAs corresponding amino acid is attached (by aminoacyl-tRNA synthetases). tRNAs cope with the degeneracy of the genetic code in two manners: having more than one tRNA (with a specific anti-codon) for a particular amino acid; and 'wobble' base-pairing, i.e. permitting non-standard base-pairing at the 3rd anti-codon position.
Source: RNAcentral
UCCCCUGUAGCUCAGUCGGUAGAGCAGCGGACUGUUAAUCCGCGUGUCGUUGGUUCAAGUCCAACCGGGGGAG